RNAcentral lists this ribosomal RNA (396 nucleotides) under uncultured bacterium. RNAcentral describes it as "partial 16S ribosomal RNA". It matches the Rfam family "Bacterial small subunit ribosomal RNA", at positions 523 to 918 of the family's 1533-position model. The record is from RNAcentral.
AUACGUAGGUGGCAAGCGUUGUCCGGAAUUAUUGGGCGUAAAGCGCAUGUAGGCGGUGCCUUAAGUCUGUCGUGAAACUGCGGGGCCUAACCCCGUAUGGCGAUGGAAAAUGUGGCACUUGAGUGCAGGAGAGGAAAGGGGAACUCCCAGUGUAGCGGUGAAAUGCGUAGAUAUUGGGAAGAACACCGGUGGCGAAGGCGCCUUUCUGGACUGUGUCUGACGCUGAGAUGCGAAAGCCAGGGUAGCGAACGGGAUUAGAUACCCCGGUAGUCCUGGCCGUAAACGAUGGGUACUAGGUGUGGGAGGUAUCGACCCCUUCCGUGCCGGAGUUAACGCAAUAAGUACCCCGCCUGGGGAGUACGGCCGCAAGGCUUAAACUCAAAUGAAUUGACGGGG